This 440-nucleotide ribosomal RNA is filed under the name uncultured bacterium. RNAcentral's name for it is "bacterial SSU rRNA". It matches the Rfam family "Bacterial small subunit ribosomal RNA", at positions 338 to 795 of the family's 1533-position model. The record is from RNAcentral.
CCUACGGGGGGCAGCAGUGGGGAAUAUUGGACAAUGGGCGCAAGCCUGAUCCAGCAAUGCCGCGUGGGUGAGGAAGGCCUUCGGGUUGUAAAGCCCUUUCGCACGCGACGAUGAUGACGGUAGCGUGAGAAGAAGCCCCGGCUAACUUCGUGCCAGCAGCCGCGGUAAUACGAAGGGGGCGAGCGUUGUUCGGAAUUACUGGGCGUAAAGGGCGCGUAGGCGGCCCGCCGCGUCAGGUGUGAAAGCCCCGGGCUCAACCCGGGAAGGACGCUUGAAACGGGCGGGCUGGAGUUCCGGCGAGGAUGGUGGAAUUCCCAGUGUAGAGGUGAAAUUCGUAGAGAUUGGGAAGAACACCGGUGGCGAAGGCGGCCAUCUGGACGGACACUGACGCUGAGGCGCGACAGCGUGGGGAGCAAACAGGAUUAGAUACCCUAGUAGUC